AAGGCUGUGCGUAUUAUUGCAGUAGGGUUGUCCUGGGAAUUUCUCCUUCCUCUCAGAUUCGACCCAAGCCUGCCCUAGAUCGCAGCCAUGUCUUCCAAGCAAGGUGGAAAGGCAAAGCCUUUGAAGCAACCCAAGUCCGAGAAGAAAGACUACGAUGAGUCUGAUUUGGCUAACCUUCAGAAGAAAAAGGAUGAGGAAAAGGCACUGAAGGAACUUAGAGCCAAGGCACAACAGAAGGGAUCCUUUGGAGGUGCUGGGCUCAAGAAAAGUGGGAAGAAAUGAGAGGGUUAUUAGAACCCUCUAGUUGGGGUGCAAUAUAUCUUUCUUGGGCUGUAAUUAUAAACACUAUUAUGUUGAAGUCUUUCAAUUUAUGUGGUGGUCUAGUUUCUAAUGUGCUGCUAGACGCAUGAGCGACUUUCAGUGUGUAACAGUAUGACUAUGUCUAAAUAAGUUAGUUGGAGUUUGCCUAUCUUGAGCCUUCCUGCGUUUUCUUUCUUAAGCUUUCUUUGCAGCAUUAUCUUUGUUUGCUCUGAAUUUGUUGUCUCAUGUGUCAGGCGAGGGAGGUUGGUUUUUAUAUUUUAUAAAUAAAUAAAAAUUAUUGCA
Prunus mume (Japanese apricot) is the source of this 603-nucleotide non-coding RNA. The record is from RefSeq and is a predicted model, not a curated record. Lineage: Eukaryota; Viridiplantae; Streptophyta; Magnoliopsida; Rosales; Rosaceae.